UCCACAGGGUCCACUCCCUGCCAUCUCCCUGGCCCCUCUUUCAGUCUUCCCAUGUCUGAGACAGACAGACUGUCAGACUGACUGAAAAGGACAAACACAGGGUCUGGGGGAGCCCUUGCCUGUUGGGGUCCCCAUGCACAGCGGCUUACCACCUUUCCCGAACCUCAUAAUCCCAAAGCCUCUUGUUUCAGUGAGCUGGGGUGGGGGUGAGUCUGAGUGGCCCUCAGCUCAGGCAGAAGUCCACGGGUUAGUAGCCACAACCCAAACCUGGGACAGAUCAUCCCGCUUUCCGGUGACUUGGAUCUGACAAGGGGGAGGGGGAGGGAGAUUACCCUAGACCCCUGGCCUCUGGCUGGGAGAGCCCAGAACUGAGGGCUCCCCACAAGGGCUGGGGUCAGCUGAGCCCCUAGCUGAGUCGCUGUCCUGUGACUCCAGGUGUCCUUCAUUCCUCCUCCCAAAAUUGAUGGUGAUGCUGAGCAAGCCCCAGAGGGAGGAGCCAGUUGUAGGCUGGGGUGGAAGGAAGUCUCCUUGGACAGCACUGGACAGACGGACAGGUGUGCCAGCUGCCCUGCCCCACUAAUUCUAGCCCAGCCUUGGAACUUCUGCAUGUGGAGGCCACUCAGGGUCUAUAGGGAAAAACUGAGAAGUAGAGUGCAAGUUCAUCCAACUCAUAAACAGUGGAGCUUUGAUUUGAACCCAGGCGGCACUGUGACUCCAGAGCCCACACUCUCUACCCUUUGCUGUCUGUAUGCUCAUGGGUGGGUGGCUGAGGCGAUCCUCCCUAGGUGACCAUGGAGCGGGAUGUGUGCCCGUGAAAUGCAUGAGGGCAUACUCGUGUGUGACACCAACACCCAGCACCGUGCCUGGCACAUAGUGCAUCUUAUUAAAUGUUUGAGGAAUGAGUGAG
Molecule: long non-coding RNA, 907 nt
Organism: Equus caballus (horse)
Lineage: Eukaryota; Metazoa; Chordata; Mammalia; Perissodactyla; Equidae
Source: RefSeq, a predicted model, not a curated record